AUUGAACGCUGGCGGCACGCCUAACACAUGCAAGUCGAGCGGCAGCAUGCUUAGUAGCAAUACUAAGUGAUGGCGAGCGGCGGACGGGUGAGGAACACGUAGGAACCUGCCCAAGAGAGGGGGACAACCAAUGGAAACGUUGGCUAAUACCGCAUAAUCUCUUAGGAGAAAAGUUGCCCGUAAGGGUAGCGCUUUUGGAGGGGCCUGCGUCCGAUUAGCUAGUUGGUGAGGUAAUGGCUCACCAAGGCUGUGAUCGGUAACUGGUCUGAGAGGACGACCAGUCACACUGGGACUGAGACACGGCCCAGACUCCUACGGGAGGCAGCAGUGGGGAAUCUUGGACAAUGGGGGCAACCCUGAUCCAGCGAUGCCGCGUGGGUGAAGAAGGCCUUCGGGUUGUAAAGCCCUUUAGGCUGGGACGAAGGGUAUGGGACGAAUAAUCCUGUACUUUGACGGUACCAGCAGAAUAAGCACCGGCAAACUCUGUGCCAGCCGCCGCGGUAA
RNAcentral lists this ribosomal RNA (504 nucleotides) under uncultured bacterium. RNAcentral describes it as "partial 16S ribosomal RNA". It matches the Rfam family "Bacterial small subunit ribosomal RNA", at positions 30 to 523 of the family's 1533-position model. The record is from RNAcentral.